UCCAUUUUGUAGCUCCUUGAAAGCCUAUCAAAUUAGCGAUUGCUUUAUAGUAUGAUGCUAUAAUAAUUAUAGUGAUGGUGUAGUUGUCAGGUGUGUGAUAUAUAGUCCUCUCCAAUAGCUACAGAAUGCACUAUUCACUUAUUACAAGCUUUUGAUUCAACUCAAUAUUAAUAUCUCCCAUUGUUGAGCAUCUUAUAAAUAUGCUCCCCCACACACAGUUUCAACACACACGUGUAGAGGAGCUGUGUCAGAAUAAUGUCUUCACAAGGGAUCACAAGUUUCCCACGGAUGAGGACCGCCUCACUGACUUCCAUUCCCAUCUCUUGUUUGAUGACGAGAUAAAUAUCACCUUCUGUUGUGUGCCUAGACUCAUCACAAGAUCAGGAGCUACUAGACUCUGUCAUGUCACGGCUGAGGGAUAGAGCUGAUCAGAGGAGGGUACUAGCCAAACCAUGCUUCCAGGACUUUGACAGACUGGCCAUUUCCUACGGAUGACUUUGGUAGCACUUCAUUUAACGGACGUUCCUCUACCCCGCCCACUCAUAAUACUGCUGACAAUGCAAGACGAGACUUGUUUGGAGCACCCCCCUUUUGGAGAAGGUUCAAAGGUUACGACAACAAUGACAACUGUAGAUCAAUUUGGAGCAGUUCCUUUUAGCUGAAUUUUAAUAUUUAUUUUUCCGUGUGUUUUAAUUAUUAUAAGUGUUGUUUUGUGUGUAGUAGGAUCACAUGACUGGACUAUUGAGACUGUGUGCAUAAUUAAUAUUAUAAUUAUUAUAAAUGGAUUUUUAUGUUCAGUGCUUAUCUUUGUUAUCUUAGCCUCGAUCCCAGCUUAGGCCGCUCUUCCUCGAAGAGAGGCCUGGGACUUGUGAAGGAGGCUAAUAUUAUCUG
Molecule: long non-coding RNA, 891 nt
Organism: Halichondria panicea
Lineage: Eukaryota; Metazoa; Porifera; Demospongiae; Suberitida; Halichondriidae
Exons: 3
Source: RefSeq, a predicted model, not a curated record